Long non-coding RNA from Mus musculus (house mouse), 1258 nucleotides. RefSeq annotates it as predicted gene, 35667. The record is from RefSeq and is a predicted model, not a curated record. The transcript is spliced from 3 exons. Lineage: Eukaryota; Metazoa; Chordata; Mammalia; Rodentia; Muridae.
UUAACCGCCAAGCCAUCUCUCCAGCCCUAGUUUCCUAUUUUUAAGCAGGUUUGCACCUCUGAAAAUUUUGGUGCAGAGUUGUUCUUAUGGGGUCUCCAUUACCUACCUGGCUGUUUUCUCUUCUCUGGUGUUCGCUGGGCUGUACAACCAUUAUCGGCCACUGGGUGGCGCUGAAGCGCCAGGCAAAUUAUUUGCUGUGGUCAGGCCAUCAUUUUGACUUUUAGCCAACACUAAAUGUUACAGGGAAAGGUUACUGACUUCUGCAGUCUUUGAGAUACAAUAUUUUAUUAUCUGUCCAUUUCCCUUGAGUUUUUACUUGACAAAGUCUGAAGGCAUUUUCUUUUUGGUUUUAGAUUAGAGAUAUUAAUUUAUUUGUACAUUUUUGUGACAAGUGGAGUGUUGAAAAAAAAAAAAAACCAUACUGUUAACUACGUGGUGAGGUGCAUUCUAUACAACCUUAAUAACUAGUGACAUGGGUUAAACUUGGGGAUGCGGGGUACUGUUCUCUACUUUCCUGCUGCCUUGAGAUAGAUCGCAGAAAUUCCAAAUCAGAGUAUUUCCUAAGUUUCACCCGUGUCCGUGUAUUGGAAAUUACAUGUAGAAAAACUACGGCUAUUUCUCAAUAUUGUAUCAGAAACUUUUGUUUUAUCUGGAUGUCCAACUUCUACUGCCCAUUCCUUUUCGUUUACAGACUAGUUGCUUCUGCUACUUUAUAAACACUCUGGUCAUAACUCUUUUCACAAAAAAAUAUUAUGUGUCAGAUUUACCACUAACCUGCUCAUUAUCAUUUUUAUUUUCAUUUUUAAAGCAAGAUUUCAUGUAACCAGUAGGCUGGUCUCUACCUCCUGUAGUCGGAGGUUACCUUGAACUUCCGAUCCUCUCGCCUCUCUAUCCUGAGUACUAGGAUUGCAGCCGUGCCCCCCUCCCCCGCCACAUCGUUAAUUCCUGAAUUACAAAUACUGGAUGCAAAGAUCCACAGCCAAACAUUAGGUGGAGCUCUGGCAAGAAGAAGGCAAGAAAGCCCACUGUUGUUCUGCAUAAGUGAUAAUGGUGAUGGAGAUGCGGGAGCCAUCCCAAUAUGACUGAGAAAUAUUCAUCUGGUCCAACUGACCCCAACGUGCUGUGAUGUUGGAUUAGAAAUGAUUUAAAUUUUCUCCGAAGACCUUUCCUAUUGUUCUUUCUAGUUGUUUUUUUUUCUUCAUAAAUUGGUGAUGAAUUCUUACUAAGAUGGUUCAAUAAAGAUAUAUAAACGUUGACA